CAGUCGAGGGGUAUGCUUCUUCGGAAGCAGAGACCGGCGCACGGGUGCGUAACGCGUAUGCAAUCUACCUUUUACAGAGGGAUAGCCCAGAGAAAUUUGGAUUAAUACCUCAUAGUAUAGCUGAAUCGCAUGAUUCUACUAUUAAAGUCACAACGGUAAAAGAUGAGCAUGCGUCCCAUUAGCUAGUUGGUAAGGUAACGGCUUACCAAGGCUACGAUGGGUAGGGGUCCUGAGAGGGAGAUCCCCCACACUGGUACUGAGACACGGACCAGACUCCUACGGGAGGCAGCAGUGAGGAAUAUUGGACAAUGGGCGCAAGCCUGAUCCAGCCAUGCCGCGUGCAGGAUGACGGUCCUAUGGAUUGUAAACUGCUUUUAUACGAGAAAAAACACUGCUUCGUGAAGCAGCUUGACGGUAUCGUAAGAAUAAGGAUCGGCUAACUCCGUGCCAGCAGCCGCGGUAAUACGGAGGAUCCAAGCGUUAUCCGGAAUCAUUGGGUUUAAAGGGUCCGUAGGCGGUUUAAUAAGUCAGUGGUGAAAGCCCAUCGCUCAACGGUGGAACGGCCAUUGAUACUGUUAAACUUGAAUUAUUAGGAAGUAACUAGAAUAUGUAGUGUAGCGGUGAAAUGCUUAGAGAUUACAUGGAAUACCAAUUGCGAAGGCAGGUUACUACUAAUGGAUUGACGCUGAUGGACGAAAGCGUGGUAGCGAACAGGAUUAGAUACCCUGGUAGUCCACGCC
This 740-nucleotide ribosomal RNA is filed under the name Flavobacterium sp. Its description in RNAcentral is "bacterial SSU rRNA". It matches the Rfam family "Bacterial small subunit ribosomal RNA", at positions 59 to 801 of the family's 1533-position model. The record is from RNAcentral. Lineage: Bacteria; Pseudomonadati; Bacteroidota; Flavobacteriia; Flavobacteriales; Flavobacteriaceae.